This 492-nucleotide ribosomal RNA is filed under the name uncultured bacterium. RNAcentral describes it as "partial 16S ribosomal RNA". It matches the Rfam family "Bacterial small subunit ribosomal RNA", at positions 29 to 507 of the family's 1533-position model. The record is from RNAcentral.
AGUGAACGCUGGCGGUAGGCCUAACACAUGCAAGUCGAACGGCAGCACAGUAAGAGCUUGCUCUUACAGGUGGCGAGUGGCGGACGGGUGAGGAAUACAUCGGAAUCUACUUUUUCGUGGGGGAUAACGUAGGGAAACUUACGCUAAUACCGCAUACGACCUACGGGUGAAAGCAGGGGAUCUUCGGACCUUGCGCGAUUGAAUGAGCCGAUGUCGGAUUAGCGAGUUGGCGGGGUAAAGGCCCACCAAGGCGACGAUCCGUAGCUGGUCUGAGAGGAUGAUCAGCCACACUGGAACGGAGACACGGUCCAGACUCCUACGGGAGGCAGCAGUGGGGAAUAUUGGACAAUGGGCGCAAGCCUGAUCCAGCCAUACCGCGUGGGUGAAGAAGGCCUUCGGGUUGUAAAGCCCUUUUGUUGGGAAAGAAAAGCAGCAGGUUAAUACCCCGCUGUUCUGACGGUACCCAAAGAAUAAGCACCGGCUAACUUCGUG